RNAcentral lists this ribosomal RNA (526 nucleotides) under Rhodella violacea. RNAcentral's name for it is "partial Bacterial small subunit ribosomal RNA". It matches the Rfam family "Bacterial small subunit ribosomal RNA", at positions 1 to 539 of the family's 1533-position model. Lineage: Eukaryota; Rhodophyta; Rhodellophyceae; Rhodellales; Rhodellaceae. The record is from RNAcentral.
ACGGAGAGUUUGAUCCUGGCUCAGGACGAACGCUGGCGGCGUGCUUAACACAUGCAAGUCGAACGAUGAAGCCCAGCUUGCUGGGUGGAUUAGUGGCGAACGGGUGAGUAACACGUGAGUAACCUGCCCUUGACUCUGGGAUAAGCGCUGGAAACGGCGUCUAAUACCGGAUACGACCUGCCCCGGCAUCGGGUGCGGGUGGAAAGUUUUUCGGUCAAGGAUGGACUCGCGGCCUAUCAGGUAGUUGGUGAGGUAAUGGCUCACCAAGCCGACGACGGGUAGCCGGCCUGAGAGGGUGACCGGCCACACUGGGACUGAGACACGGCCCAGACUCCUACGGGAGGCAGCAGUGGGGAAUAUUGCACAAUGGGCGAAAGCCUGAUGCAGCAACGCCGCGUGGGGGAUGACGGCCUUCGGGUUGUAAACCUCUUUUAGUAGGGAAGAAGGGCUUCGGCUUGACGGUACCUGCAGAAAAAGCACCGGCUAACUACGUGCCAGCAGCCGCGGUAAUACGUAGGGUGCAAGC